This is a long non-coding RNA of Rhagoletis pomonella (apple maggot), 1528 nucleotides long. RefSeq lists it as uncharacterized. The transcript has 3 exons. NCBI's taxonomy places the organism in Eukaryota, Metazoa, Arthropoda, Insecta, Diptera, Tephritidae. The record is from RefSeq and is a predicted model, not a curated record.
UACAAACUCGAGUUUAUUAAAACGAGCGCUGUGCGCGUGUUAAGAUCGUGUGUCUGCUGCAACGGAAAAUGGGACUUUUUUUGGUUGGAUCUUUGGAGAAUUUUGAAAUUAAGGAAUAGAAAUUGCAAUAAAAAUUUCAAGGCGAAAACUCAAGGAAUACAUACAUAUUUAUGCGAUGGUGAACUGGAAAGUAGAUAAAAAAAGCAUCUAAUAAAACAGAAGCAUGCAAUUGCUGGCGUAUGCCCACGGUUGCCAACUGUCCCGUUUUCGGCGGGAUAGUACCGGAUUUUAGAGCUAUGUCCUGGUCCUGGUGCAACACAUGCCGGGACGCAAAAUUUCCCGGAUUUUGAAGAAUUUCAAAAAUACAGAAUUGAAAUUGAUGUCUCGGUUUCAAGAAUGCAAAAGUUGGCAACCGUGGUUCUGCCUUCUCAGAAUUAGAAUCAGAUAGAGGCACCAACGUCUCUGUUAACAGUUACAAGUUUGAAAAGGUAGACGACGUCGUUUACUUGGAAACCAGCGUUAACACCUAUAACAAUGUCAGCAUCGAAAUCCAACGCAGAAUUCUUAUUGCCAAAAAGUGCUACUUUGGACUGAGUAGGCAAUUCGGGAGUAAAGUCCUUUCUCGACAUACAAAAAUCACACUCAUCAUAAGUCACUCAUCAAGCCCGUGCUGGUGAAUGGCGCGGAGGCAUGGACAAUGAAAGCAUCUGAUGAAGCGGCUCUUGGAGUUUUAGAGAGAAAGUUGCUGUAAAAGAUUGACGGCCCUUUACGCGUUGGCGAUGGCAUAUAACGGCGGAGGCGAUUUAAUGAUGAGCUGCAUGAGCUUUACAACGACAUGGACAUAGUGCAGCGAACUAAAAUUCAACGGCUCCGCAGGCUACGUAACGUCGUGCGAAUGACGCUCCAGCUGUGAAAGCAUUAAACGCUGUUCAUCAUGCUGUUAACAGAGGAAGAGGAAGGUCUCCCGCCUGCGUUGAAAAGACCAUUUGGAGAAGGACUUGGCUUCACUUGACAUUUCCAAUUUGCCUUCAGUUAGCACUGAAGAGAAAUGACUGGCGUGCUGUUUGGGACUCGCUUAGGCGGUAACACUGUCAAUGAAGAAGAAGAAGAAUAUACGCUGCCACAUCCCGUACAAAAAAGGUAUUACAUAUAAAUCCACCAGCGCCUGGAAGGUCAAUUUCUUGAGGUGACAGAAGGAAAAAUAUAGUAACUUACCCUAUAAGUUAGGAUAGCAAUAAAGAAUAAUAGUAGCAGCUAAUAUUUAAUAAAUUUGGAUAGGAUUUUCUGAGUAUCUUAUACAUAAGUGGUGUUGCAUUUGCUGGAUAAGACAAGCCAUACGUAAUCUACUUUCAUGGGCGUGCUUUUAAUUUCUUUUUACUUCGAAGUUCCAGACGUGGAUCCAUGAACGUGACUUUUUUGCAGAGCCAUCAGGAAACUGUUUUUGUAAAAUCCGGUUUAUUUAUAAAUGAUAAUAAAAGGAAUCAAUUUACUUACGUAAGUACAUAUUUAUGUAUGAAGGUAUGUACAU